Molecule: long non-coding RNA, 590 nt
Filed under: Carassius auratus (goldfish)
Lineage: Eukaryota; Metazoa; Chordata; Actinopteri; Cypriniformes; Cyprinidae
Description: lncRNA (ENSCARG00000067383.1)
Source: RNAcentral
AUGUAUGAGAAGAUGGCGAACGUCAAGGCAGCAGGAGCUAACGUCAGCGCUCCACCAAGAAGACAAAAAAAAGUUGCAAAAGAGAGGAUCCUCACUCAGUUGAAGGAUACACUGAGGAAACCACCCCACUCCACUCCAUGCAGAACCAAUCCAUUACAUAGUGAGGAGGAAGUUGAAUCUGAAACGGUGGACACAAACGUGGAUUUGUUCAAUUACCCAGGGAAUUCUCAAUCAACCAAACAAAAAAAGGUUGCAAAUGAGAGGAUCCUCACUCAGCUGAAGGAUACACUGAGGAAACCACUCCACUCUGAUCCACGCAGAACCAUUCCGUUACAUAGUGAGGAGGAAGUUCAAGCCGAAACCGUGGACACAAAUGUGGAUUUGUUCGAUUACCCAGAGAAUUUUCAACCAACUGAUACCUUAGAUGCUGUUGAGGCAAGUGGAGAGAGCGUGGAACAGCCAUUAUUUGUCAGUGGUGAAGUGUUGAAAGCUUUGAAAGAAAUCUCAACUGUGGCGUUUGGCACCUUGUUCGUACCCCACUUACGAUGUGUUUUUACACGUAUUACCUGUGGUGUGCAUCAGGAGUGGAG